This 437-nucleotide ribosomal RNA is filed under the name uncultured organism. RNAcentral describes it as "bacterial SSU rRNA". It matches the Rfam family "Bacterial small subunit ribosomal RNA", at positions 346 to 794 of the family's 1533-position model. The record is from RNAcentral.
GCGCACCAGUCGAGAAUCUUCCACAAUGGACGAAAGUCUGAUGGAGCGACGCCGCGUGAUUGAUGAAGUCCCUCUGGGACGUAAAGAUCUUUUAUGAGGGAAGAAGUUUAUUGACGGUACCUCAUGAAUAAGAGGCUCCUAAUCUCGUGCCAGCAGGAGCGGUAAUACGAGAGCCUCGAGCGUUAUCCGGAAUUAUUGGGCGUAAAGGGUGCGUAGGUUGUUCUGUUAGUCUUUUGUCAAAGCCCCGAGCUUAACUUGGGAUAUGCGGAAGAAACGGCAGAACUUGAAAGUGCGAGAGGCGUACGGAACUCAUGGUGUAGGGGUGAAAUCCGUUGAUAUCAUGGGGAACACCAAAUGCGAAAGGCAGUACGCUGGCGCAUACUUGACACUGAAGCACGAAAGCGUGGGUAGCGAAUGGGAUUAGAUACCCCGGUAGU